GAUGAACGCUGGCGGCGUGCCUAAUACAUGCAAGUCGAGCGAACGGACGAGAAGCUUGCUUCUCUGAUGUUAGCGGCGGACGGGUGAGUAACACGUGGAUAACCUACCUAUAAGACUGGGAUAACUUCGGGAAACCGGAGCUAAUACCGGAUAAUAUUUUGAACCGCAUGGUUCAAAAGUGAAAGACGGUCUUGCUGUCACUUAUAGAUGGAUCCGCGCUGCAUUAGCUAGUUGGUGAGGUAACGGCUUACCAAGGCAACGAUGCAUAGCCGACCUGAGAGGGUGAUCGGCCACACUGGAACUGAGACACGGUCCAGACUCCUACGGGAGGCAGCAGUAGGGAAUCUUCCGCAAUGGGCGAAAGCCUGACGGAGCAACGCCGCGUGAGUGAUGAAGGUCUUCGGAUCGUAAAACUCUGUUAUUAGGGAAGAACAUAUGUGUAAGUAACUGUGCACAUCUUGACGGUACCUAAUCAGAAAGCCACGGCUAACUACGUA
RNAcentral lists this ribosomal RNA (497 nucleotides) under uncultured bacterium. RNAcentral describes it as "partial 16S ribosomal RNA". It matches the Rfam family "Bacterial small subunit ribosomal RNA", at positions 28 to 507 of the family's 1533-position model. The record is from RNAcentral.